Molecule: ribosomal RNA, 162 nt
Filed under: Triticum aestivum (bread wheat)
Lineage: Eukaryota; Viridiplantae; Streptophyta; Magnoliopsida; Poales; Poaceae
Description: partial small subunit ribosomal RNA
Source: RNAcentral
AUGGCCCUAUGGGCCUCAACGAUUUGGAAGCACUGAAAUGCGUGUAUCUUCGACAAUGCAAGUCCCUCACAUGUACACAUCACAGACCAGAUCAAGGAGGACGCGCAUGCCUGGGCCAUGGCGGGCGCCAAAGGACUAAAUAAGAUUUUACCUACAACAUGA